AUUGAACGCUGGCGGCAUGCUUUACACAUGCAAGUCGAACGGCAGCACGGGGCAACCUGGUGGCGAGUGGCGAACGGGUGAGUAAUGCAUCGGAACGUGCCAUUGAGUGGGGGAUAACGUAGCGAAAGUUGCGCUAAUACCGCAUAUUCUGUGAGCAGGAAAGCAGGGGGACCGCAAGGCCUUGCGCUCUUUGAGCGGCCGAUGUCAGAUUAGCUAGUUGGUGAGGUAAAGGCUUACCAAGGCGACGAUCUGUAGCGGGUCUGAGAGGAUGAUCCGCCACACUGGAACUGAGACACGGUCCAGACUCCUACGGGAGGCAGCAGUGGGGAAUUUUGGACAAUGGGCGCAAGCCUGAUCCAGCCAUGCCGCGUGAGUGAAGAAGGCCUGGUGUAAG
This 394-nucleotide ribosomal RNA is filed under the name uncultured bacterium. RNAcentral's name for it is "bacterial SSU rRNA". It matches the Rfam family "Bacterial small subunit ribosomal RNA", at positions 30 to 429 of the family's 1533-position model. The record is from RNAcentral.